Molecule: ribosomal RNA, 483 nt
Filed under: uncultured bacterium
Lineage: Bacteria
Description: partial 16S ribosomal RNA
Rfam family: Bacterial small subunit ribosomal RNA
Source: RNAcentral
GACGAACGCUGGCGGCGUGCUUAACACAUGCAAGUCGAACGCUGAAGCUCAGCUUUUGUUGGGUGGAUGAGUGGCGAACGGGUGAGUAACACGUGAGUAACCUGCCCCCUUCUUUGGGAUAACGCCCGGAAACGGGUGCUAAUACUGGAUAUUCACUGGUCUUCGCAUGGGGGUUGGUGGAAAGGGUUUUUCUGGUGGGGGAUGGGCUCGCGGCCUAUCAGCUUGUUGGUGGGGUGAUGGCCUACCAAGGCUUUGACGGGUAGCCGGCCUGAGAGGGUGACCGGUCACAUAGGGACUGAGAUACGGCCCAGACUCCUACGGGGGGCAGCAGUGGGGAAUAUUGAACAAUGGGCGCAAGCCUGAUGCAGCGACGCCGCGUGAGGGAUGGAGGCCUUCGGGUUGUGAACCUCUUUCGCUAAUGGUCAAGCCGCAACAAUGGUUGUGGUGAGGGUAGUGGGUAAAGAAGCGCCGGCUAACUACGUG